This 273-nucleotide ribosomal RNA is filed under the name uncultured bacterium. Its description in RNAcentral is "partial 16S ribosomal RNA". It matches the Rfam family "Bacterial small subunit ribosomal RNA", at positions 524 to 776 of the family's 1533-position model. The record is from RNAcentral.
UACGAAGGGGGCUAGCGUUGCUCGGAAUCACUGGGCGUAAAGGGUGCGUAGGCGGGUCUUUAAGUCAGGGGGUGAAAUCCUGGAGCUCAACUCCAGAACUGCCUUUGAUACUGAAGAUCUUGAGUUCGGGAGAGGUGAGUGGAACUGCGAGUGUAGAGGUGAAAUUCGUAGAGAUCCGGAAGAACACCGGUGGCGAAGGCGGCCUGCUGGGGUGGAAGACAGACUUCGGUCUGUCGGCUGACGCUGAGGCGCGCAGCGUGGGGAGCAAACAGG